AACGAACGCUGGCGGCAUGCCUAACACAUGCAAGUCGAACGAGACCUUCGGGUCUAGUGGCGCACGGGUGCGUAACGCGUGGGAACCUUCCCUUAGGUUCGGAAUAACUCCCCGAAAGGGGUGCUAAUACCGGAUAAUGUCUUCGGACCAAAGAUUUAUCGCCUUUGGAUGGGCCCGCGUUUGAUUAGCUAGUUGGUAGGGUAAAAGCCUACCAAGGCGACGAUCGAUAGCUGGUCUGAGAGGAUGAUCAGCCACACUGGGACUGAGACACGGCCCAGACUCCUACGGGAGGCAGCAGUGGGGAAUAUUGGACAAUGGGCGAAAGCCUGAUCCAGCAAUGCCGCGUGAGUGAUGAAGGCCUUAGGGUUGUAAAGCUCUUUUACCCGGGAUGAUAAUGACAGUACCGGGAGAAUAAGCUCCGGCUAACUCCGUG
RNAcentral lists this ribosomal RNA (433 nucleotides) under uncultured bacterium. RNAcentral describes it as "partial 16S ribosomal RNA". It matches the Rfam family "Bacterial small subunit ribosomal RNA", at positions 29 to 507 of the family's 1533-position model. The record is from RNAcentral.